UUUACUUCAGUUGAAUAAAUUACAUAUUUCUUUCAUUUCCAAGUUUUUGUAAAUGAGACAAACAUAUGAAUACACUUCUGAAUUUCUAAAUAACAGCUGGGUACAACAAAUUUUUAUGAUUCACUUUAAUUUGUGAGGAAAGGACCUAGGACAAUAUUGCUACUACAAUUGUUAUCAAUACCUUCCCUACUAAUUUUUUGUAGUUUUAGAAUUUUUUCUACCAAUUCUAGUAUUUGUAUUCAAUUUUAAGAGAUGAGAUAUGUAUUAAACAUGCAUAAUAUACAUUACAAUGUAGUUAUAGAAUUGACUACUUGCACAUAGAAUAUGGCCAAAAUCCAAUUUCAUCCAAUUUUUAUAUUAUGAUGAAGUAACGCACAUAGCAUCGAAAAACAUAUGGAGAUAUUAUAAUUCACCUGAAGUGAUUCAAUUGGUAAAGAAUAAGUUUGUUGGAAUUGCUUUUAGGGUCUGUGCACCGCACUGCAACACUUUUAAGUUGACAUUACCACAAGCUCGGCAGGGGAUGACUGUGGUGGUUUGAUCAGUAAGUAGAUCAGUGUCCAGUACUCGAAGUCUAUGGGGCGUUCAGGCAUUAGCAAGUGCUUUGGAAGCGGACUCAGUGGUUAGGCUGCUUAUGCCAAAAUAAUGAUAGUAGUAAGAAAAAGUAGAUUUUAAUCACAUUAAUUUUUUUUUUUUUUAGUUGCAUGGUUUUGUACAUUCAGUUAACAACUUCAUAUGCAUUUUUAAAACUUAAAAUUUAUCAUACAAAUACAAUGAAUUUUUUUCAUAGAAUGGUAUACAGUAUCUAAUUAUAGAUGAAAUCUAUUGAACAAAUAACCCUUAAUAAUUUAAGAUUCUUAGUUUAUGAGAGUUAAUUUGAUUUUAAUCUGUAGAACUUUUGUAAAAAUAAGUCAAAGAUUGUGUUAAUAAUAAUAUAAGUUACAUAAUUAUUUUUAUAUUAUAUUGAAAAAAACUUAGUUUGCUAACAAAAUUAAUUAAUUAACAUAAAUUAAAACUAUUUUAUAAAAGAUGAAUUUCAAAAAAAAAAAAAAAAAAACCAUACAUACCUAUAAAAUUUGUAUAAAUAUUUUGGAGUCUUUAUAUUCUGAAAUUUUCUUUUGAGUUAUUACAGUUAAAUAAUAUUAUUUUCCACAAACAUCAAUCAUUGCUAAAAAUAACAUAUCGUCAAAAAUAGUUUAGUUGAUUUUCUAUUUAUUUAUAUAUACAUUCAAUUAUUUUUAACUUCUUUCUUUAUUUAUUUCUCUUUGUAUAUGUAAAAACAUAACUUGAAAUACAAUCAAUCAUCCUUAUUAUAUUAAUAUAAAAAAUAGCUUUAUAGAAAGUCUAAAGUAUCAUCUUCAAUUUACAAUUAUUUUAAAACUAUUUUUAUGUAUAAAACAUGAUCAAAUUUUAAGGUUUCUUUAAUAUUCAAAGUACUUUUUUUAUUACGUUUAGGUAUAUCCCUUCUAUUUAACAUCUGAUUGCAAACACAAAUCUUGUUUGAUUAACUUU
RNAcentral lists this long non-coding RNA (1509 nucleotides) under Physcomitrium patens. Its description in RNAcentral is "long non-coding RNA (PPAT_LNC002884)". The record is from RNAcentral. Lineage: Eukaryota; Viridiplantae; Streptophyta; Bryopsida; Funariales; Funariaceae.